Long non-coding RNA from Amphimedon queenslandica, 526 nucleotides. RefSeq lists it as uncharacterized. NCBI's taxonomy places the organism in Eukaryota, Metazoa, Porifera, Demospongiae, Haplosclerida, Niphatidae. The transcript is spliced from 3 exons. The record is from RefSeq and is a predicted model, not a curated record.
AUUCCAGGGGCUGCUACUAAUAACCUCAUUUGUGUCUUUGAGAGAUGGAUAGCGUCUAAUGAAGAAGUAUCCUGGAGUAAAGUACUUCAAGUUUGUGAUGAGUAUCCAGAGGAAUUUCGAAAGGCAAAAGCUGAAGUGAAGGGAUUCAUUGAUCAGCCAUCAGAUGAAAGACCUGUUGAUAGUAACAAUGGAACACAAAUAAAGCAAGUUAAUGAUCAGUCAUCAAAUGAAAACAUUUUGGACAAGGAGCCUAAAUUAAAGGACCUCCAUAGGCUUUUUGACAGUUCUGCUGCCCAUUAUUCAACUAUUGGUACUGCACUUGAUGUUGAAGUGGACAACUUAUUGCAUAGUCCAUUGUCAGCCUCUGAUAAGCUACGGACAGUAUUCAAGAGAUGGAUAGAGUCCAAUAAAGAAGUGACCUGGAGGAAUGCUCUUCAAGUUUGUGAAGAUUAUCCUGAUAAGUUUGAAAGAGUGAAGGCUGGCGUGGACAAAUUUCUUGAAUCAGAUAGAGCUCGUAAAGAAUAUU